GGCCCUUUAGUAUAGUGGUUGAUUACGCUCUACGGUAUAGCAACGGAGCGUAAUUGCUCGAAGAUCGCCUAUUAAGCAGUUAUAUACCUCUAGCCUUAGCUCUACAUUACUCGUAGAGACUUCCUAGGGCCGGAGGUAGUACUGCUUAGGCAUCCGAGAGCGGUUACAAUCUAUAUACUUGCGUUAUACUCGAUCGAGAAUGUCUCUUUUAUACUAGAGUAACCCGGGUUCGAAUCUCGGAGGGGCUA
Molecule: non-coding RNA, 248 nt
Organism: Pseudocercospora fijiensis CIRAD86
Lineage: Eukaryota; Fungi; Ascomycota; Dothideomycetes; Mycosphaerellales; Mycosphaerellaceae
Source: the annotation of a RefSeq genome assembly